GAAUAUGAGAAACAGAGAGACAUGGUUUAAAGUAUCAGGCGGUGGCUUCAUCCACUCAAACGCACACCUACAGAAAGCCAUCAACACCGUUACCAUCAGAUUGAGAGAUACGGAGAUAGAGAGAGGCAGUCCAUAAGGCGCACAGGAGUAGAGAUUGAGGAAGAGAAAACUCGGUGCCAUUAACACGUUAACAUUGGAUCGUCGGAACUACCAUCUUGAUAUCCAGUUUCCACGAAGAAGAAGGAGAUAGAAGUGCUGAAAGUAGAGUUAGUGUUGCCAACCCAUCUUUGUUUCAAGCAAAUCCAAAGGCAGGCACUAGAAACAUCUGAAGCAAAUCUUUCAGGCCUAGAAUUAGAAGAAUUUCCCUCCUUAAGAACCACCUGUAAGUU
This is a long non-coding RNA of Quercus lobata, 389 nucleotides long. RefSeq lists it as uncharacterized. The record is from RefSeq and is a predicted model, not a curated record. The transcript has 2 exons. Lineage: Eukaryota; Viridiplantae; Streptophyta; Magnoliopsida; Fagales; Fagaceae.